GGGUUGUGAGGUUAAGCGACUAAGCGUACACGGUGGAUGCCCUGGCAGUCAGAGGCGAUGAAGGACGUGCUAAUCUGCGAUAAGCGUCGGUGAGGUGAUAUGAACCGUUAUAACCGGCGAUUUCCGAAUGGGGAAACCCAGUGUGAUUCGUCACACUAUCAUUAACUGAAUCCAUAGGUUAAUGAGGCGAACCGGGGGAACUGAAACAUCUAAGUACCCCGAGGAAAAGAAAUCAACCGAGAUUCCCCCAGUAGCGGCGAGCGAACGGGGAGCAGCCCAGAGCCUGAAUCAGUGUGUGUGUUAGUGGAAGCGUCUGGAAAGGCGCGCGAUACAGGGUGACAGCCCCGUACACAAAAAUGCACAUACUGUGAGCUCGAUGAGUAGGGCGGGACACGUGGUAUCCUGUCUGAAUAUGGGGGGACCAUCCUCCAAGGCUAAAUACUCCUGACUGACCGAUAGUGAACCAGUACCGUGAGGGAAAGGCGAAAAGAACCCCGGCGAGGGGAGUGAAAAAGAACCUGAAACCGUGUACGUACAAGCAGUGGGAGCACGCUUCGGCGUGUGACUGCGUACCUUUUGUAUAAUGGGUCAGCGACUUAUAUUCUGUAGCAAGGUUAACCGAAUAGGGGAGCCGAAGGGAAACCGAGUCUUAACUGGGCGUUAAGUUGCAGGGUAUAGACCCGAAACCCGGUGAUCUAGCCAUGGGCAGGUUGAAGGUUGGGUAACACUAACUGGAGGACCGAACCGACUAAUGUUGAAAAAUUAGCGGAUGACUUGUGGCUGGGGGUGAAAGGCCAAUCAAACCGGGAGAUAGCUGGUUCUCCCCGAAAGCUAUUUAGGUAGCGCCUCGUGAAUUCAUCUCCGGGGGUAGAGCACUGUUUCGGCAAGGGGGUCAUCCCGACUUACCAACCCGAUGCAAACUGCGAAUACCGGAGAAUGUUAUCACGGGAGACACACGGCGGGUGCUAACGUCCGUCGUGAAGAGGGAAACAACCCAGACCGCCAGCUAAGGUCCCAAAGUCAUGGUUAAGUGGGAAACGAUGUGGGAAGGCCCAGACAGCCAGGAUGUUGGCUUAGAAGCAGCCAUCAUUUAAAGAAAGCGUAAUAGCUCACUGGUCGAGUCGGCCUGCGCGGAAGAUGUAACGGGGCUAAACCAUGCACCGAAGCUGCGGCAGCGACACUAUGUGUUGUUGGGUAGGGGAGCGUUCUGUAAGCCUGUGAAGGUGUACUGUGAGGUAUGCUGGAGGUAUCAGAAGUGCGAAUGCUGACAUAAGUAACGAUAAAGCGGGUGAAAAGCCCGCUCGCCGGAAGACCAAGGGUUCCUGUCCAACGUUAAUCGGGGCAGGGUGAGUCGACCCCUAAGGCGAGGCCGAAAGGCGUAGUCGAUGGGAAACAGGUUAAUAUUCCUGUACUUGGUGUUACUGCGAAGGGGGGACGGAGAAGGCUAUGUUGGCCGGGCGACGGUUGUCCCGGUUUAAGCGUGUAGGCUGGUUUUCCAGGCAAAUCCGGAGAAUCAAGGCUGAGGCGUGAUGACGAGGCACUACGGUGCUGAAGCAACAAAUGCCCUGCUUCCAGGAAAAGCCUCUAAGCAUCAGGUAACAUUAAAUCGUACCCCAAACCGACACAGGUGGUCAGGUAGAGAAUACCAAGGCGCUUGAGAGAACUCGGGUGAAGGAACUAGGCAAAAUGGUGCCGUAACUUCGGGAGAAGGCACGCUGAUACGUAGGUGAAGUCCCUCGCGGAUGGAGCUGAAAUCAGUCGAAGAUACCAGCUGGCUGCAACUGUUUAUUAAAAACACAGCACUGUGCAAACACGAAAGUGGACGUAUACGGUGUGACGCCUGCCCGGUGCCGGAAGGUUAAUUGAUGGGGUCAGCGCAAGCGAAGCUCUUGAUCGAAGCCCCGGUAAACGGCGGCCGUAACUAUAACGGUCCUAAGGUAGCGAAAUUCCUUGUCGGGUAAGUUCCGACCUGCACGAAUGGCGUAAUGAUGGCCAGGCUGUCUCCACCCGAGACUCAGUGAAAUUGAACUCGCUGUGAAGAUGCAGUGUACCCGCGGCAAGACGGAAAGACCCCGUGAACCUUUACUAUAGCUUGACACUGAACAUUGAGCCUUGAUGUGUAGGAUAGGUGGGAGGCUUUGAAGUGUGGACGCCAGUCUGCAUGGAGCCGGCCUUGAAAUACCACCCUUUAAUGUUUGAUGUUCUAACGUAGACCCGUGAUCCGGGUUGCGGACAGUGUCUGGUGGGUAGUUUGACUGGGGCGGUCUCCUCCUAAAGAGUAACGGAGGAGCACGAAGGUUGGCUAAUCCUGGUCGGACAUCAGGAGGUUAGUGCAAUGGCAUAAGCCAGCUUGACUGCGAGCGUGACGGCGCGAGCAGGUGCGAAAGCAGGUCAUAGUGAUCCGGUGGUUCUGAAUGGAAGGGCCAUCGCUCAACGGAUAAAAGGUACUCCGGGGAUAACAGGCUGAUACCGCCCAAGAGUUCAUAUCGACGGCGGUGUUUGGCACCUCGAUGUCGGCUCAUCACAUCCUGGGGCUGAAGUAGGUCCCAAGGGUAUGGCUGUUCGCCAUUUAAAGUGGUACGCGAGCUGGGUUUAGAACGUCGUGAGACAGUUCGGUCCCUAUCUGCCGUGGGCGCUGGAGAACUGAGGGGGGCUGCUCCUAGUACGAGAGGACCGGAGUGGACGCAUCACUGGUGUUCGGGUUGUCAUGCCAAUGGCACUGCCCGGUAGCUAAAUGCGGAAGAGAUAAGUGCUGAAAGCAUCUAAGCACGAAACUUGCCCCGAGAUGAGUUCUCCCUGACCCUUUAAGGGUCCUGAAGGAACGUUGAAGACGACGACGUUGAUAGGCCGGGUGUGUAAGCGCAGCGAUGCGUUGAGCUAACCGGUACUAAUGAACCGUGAGGCUUAACCUUACAACGCCGAAG
Molecule: ribosomal RNA, 2924 nt
Filed under: Escherichia coli
Lineage: Bacteria; Pseudomonadati; Pseudomonadota; Gammaproteobacteria; Enterobacterales; Enterobacteriaceae
Description: 23S ribosomal RNA
Rfam family: Bacterial large subunit ribosomal RNA
Source: RNAcentral